CCCAGCUGUAGGCAACUGCUUAAGUUACCUCAUACUUACGCAAGAGUUACGCUGCUGGGAGAAAAGCAGCCAAUAGUUGGCAGGCAAUCUGGGACUGGUUAAUGCCAACUUGGAUUAACUAUACCAGUGUGCUAGCCUAGUUGCCUAUUUU
Ochotona princeps (American pika) is the source of this 151-nucleotide small nucleolar RNA. Its record names the gene SNORA74. It matches the Rfam family "Small nucleolar RNA SNORA74". From Rfam's summary of the family: U19 belongs to the H/ACA class of snoRNAs. snoRNAs bind a number of proteins (including dyskerin, Gar1p and Nop10p in the case of the H/ACA class) to form snoRNP complexes. This class are thought to guide the sites of modification of uridines to pseudouridines by forming direct base pairing interactions with substrate RNAs. Targets may include ribosomal and spliceosomal RNAs but the exact functions of many snoRNAs, including U19, are not confirmed. Lineage: Eukaryota; Metazoa; Chordata; Mammalia; Lagomorpha; Ochotonidae. The record is from Ensembl.